UUGAGCCGAAUACCGAGCAAUUGGUACGUUCGGUUCUCUGGGGAGUUGGGGAAGUAAUUCCCCCGCUUACCCGAC
Molecule: non-coding RNA, 75 nt
Filed under: Candidatus Cardinium hertigii
Lineage: Bacteria; Pseudomonadati; Bacteroidota; Cytophagia; Cytophagales; Amoebophilaceae
Source: RNAcentral